GUGCUUGCUUUGGCAGCACAUAUACUAAAACUGGAAUGGUACAGAGAAGAUUGGCAUGGCCCCUGCACAAGGAUGACAUGCAAAUUCGUGAAGCGUUCCAUGUUUUU
RNAcentral lists this small nuclear RNA (107 nucleotides) under Physeter macrocephalus (sperm whale). The record is from RNAcentral. Lineage: Eukaryota; Metazoa; Chordata; Mammalia; Artiodactyla; Physeteridae.